GUGGGGCUGGAAUAGGGCACCAGGUGGCUGAGGAGAUGGGGGCAGCUCAGUGGUGACCUCAUCCAUUCCAUCCAGCGGUGACAGAGGCCUUACGGGCACCAAGCAAGAUCUCUGGUUGUAGUGGAACUAGGAAUCUGCAUGACAAUCUGUCGGAUCUCCGUGCCCAGGUGGCAGCCAACCAAAAGGGCAUACGGUUGGUGGGGGAGCUCAUCGGGCAAUAUGGCUUGGAUGUUGUGCAGGCCUACAUGGGCCACAUUCAGGUGGGUCUAGGGGCAGGGAGGUGGGAGCCCCACUCUGCCUGCCCAAGGUGCAGGGCCACUCUGAAAGUAGCAUGGCUGCCAUGGGACCCUCUCCCUGCCAGGCAAAUGCAGAGCUGGCAGUGCGUGACAUGCUGCGGGCCUUUGGAACCUCCCGGCAGGCUCGGGGACUACCCCUUGAGGUGUCUGCGGAGGACCACAUGGAUGAUGGCUCGCCUAUACACCUCCGAGUUCAAAUCAACCUGAGUCAGGUCAGACCUAGUUGGGAGACAGGGAGGGAGCUUUCUGCGCCACCCCACUGCUGAUGCCUUCACCCUUCUCCUUCCUGGGCAGGGCAGUGCUGUAUUUGACUUCAGUGGCACUGGGCCGGAGGUGUUUGGCAACCUCAAUGCCCCGCGGGCCAUAACGCUGUCGGCCCUCAUCUACUGCUUGCGCUGUCUUGUGGGCCGUGACAUCCCACUCAACCAGGUUCGCAGGGGGGUGGAGUCUGAGGUCGGUCCCUACCAGUGCGAGGUCAGCAGGUGAACCUGAGGCUGGAGGUCACCCUGAGUGUGUGUGGGGUCAAGGUCAGCCCAACGUGGACUGAGCCCGGGAGGUGGGCAUGUUUCUCUUGGAAUCAGAGAGGGACCCAGCCCCAUUUGCCCCUGAGAGCUGCUUGCCCAUGCACAGGGCUGCCUGGCACCUGUGCGGGUGGUGAUUCCUAGAGGCUCCAUCCUGGACCCAUCCUCAGAGGCAGCGGUGGUGGGCGGCAACGUGCUCACGUCACAGCGUGUGGUGGACGUCAUCCUGGCGGCCUUCGGGGCCUGCGCUGCCUCCCAGGUGUGAUAGGCAGGCUGGGUGCGGCCCUGGGGGCUUCUGGGAACUCUGGGAGGGCGAGG
This 1135-nucleotide long non-coding RNA is filed under the name Marmota monax (woodchuck). Lineage: Eukaryota; Metazoa; Chordata; Mammalia; Rodentia; Sciuridae. The record is from RNAcentral.